Octopus sinensis (East Asian common octopus) is the source of this 205-nucleotide long non-coding RNA. RefSeq lists it as uncharacterized. The transcript has 2 exons. The record is from RefSeq and is a predicted model, not a curated record. Lineage: Eukaryota; Metazoa; Mollusca; Cephalopoda; Octopoda; Octopodidae.
UAUGAUUUCACUUGGCCUGACAGGUUUUCUCAAGCACAGCAUAUCACCCAACGCCUUGGUUUCUUGUCAUUGCCUCCGUGAGGUCCAACAUUCAAAAAUCAUGCUUCAUCAAUAAUAUCAGAUUGAGGUCAAUAUAACUAAAUAUGUUCUUCAUGGUCCUUCCCCAAAAUGGCUGCAGUCCAAUGAGUGAAACCAAUUAAAAGAA